Long non-coding RNA from Gorilla gorilla gorilla (western lowland gorilla), 974 nucleotides. RefSeq lists it as uncharacterized. NCBI's taxonomy places the organism in Eukaryota, Metazoa, Chordata, Mammalia, Primates, Hominidae. The record is from RefSeq and is a predicted model, not a curated record. The transcript is spliced from 4 exons.
AAAUGGUUUGUGACACUGAGCUGCCCAUGAGGACUCUAUGGGAAAGCCCAUUAUAGCACAGGACAGCUGGGGGACCAUGUUGGGUCCAAUCUCUGCAUGAACUCAGGAAUCACAAGGGCUGCCUCCUCCCACGGGCUUCUCAUCCCCCAAGACUUCACCAUGCUUUUCUGUGUCAUUCUGCUCAGGGAAGUUUGAAAUGCCAUGCCUGGGGCAGACACUUGAAGAAAUCAGCUUGGACAGGAGACAUUUAGUGCUAGUUAGAAGGUCAGCCAGUCCUAACUGGCAGGGGUGGCCCAAGGCAGCCUGCUGUCACCCAGUGCCCGGCCCUUGUCUAGAUGGCCACCUUCCCCCGCUGAGAGGUGUCGGCUCAGGGACUUUUGCCACGUGUUGACUGCUUUACUUCAUAAUUAGCCUUGAGAAUUGAGCAGAACAAUGUUUCUUUGCCUCAAAAAACCAUCGUUCUUAAAAGAGUUCUGAAGAUUGAGGGAAAAAAGGUUAUGGAAAAAAUAAGCUGGGAGUCAUUUUAUUUAAAGGAUGUUUCCAUUCUAGACAAUUUCAACUGGCUCUGUGCUGUUGAAAGACCAGGCAGGAAGGAAAUAGGUGUGAAAAAGUGGAAGUGCUCUCACACUCAUUUUAAAAGGCACGUCUGUUCCAGGCACCAACAUCAGAGAAAAGCGGCCAAAGACUACGGUGAAUGAAACUCAAUUUAGGAACAAACAUUACUGAUAAAAUAUUAGUCUAUCAAAUCAAGAAUGUGAUCACAAGAAAAAUACAUACAGCGUGUUCCAGUGUGACUUAUUCCAGCAACAAAGGAAUGGCAUUAGGAAAUCUACUAAUGUAAUUUACUCCAUUGGUAGAUUAAACCAUGUGACUCCAAAUAGAGGCUGAAGUAGCAUUCGAUGCAAUUUAACACCCAUUCAUGAUUAAAAAGAAAAGAUGAUUAGCUGUCUUAGCCAGUUCCAACUUACUGUCCA